UUCACAUUCUGGCAUCGGGUGGCAGGCUUUGUCCAGCAAAGUUAUGGGUUCUUCGUCUUCAAAAACAGCUACUCCAUCUCAACUUCUUGAAAACCCAUGGAGGCAAAUUAACUAUGG
Long non-coding RNA from Pelmatolapia mariae (spotted tilapia), 117 nucleotides. RefSeq lists it as uncharacterized. The record is from RefSeq and is a predicted model, not a curated record. NCBI's taxonomy places the organism in Eukaryota, Metazoa, Chordata, Actinopteri, Cichliformes, Cichlidae. The transcript is spliced from 3 exons.